RNAcentral lists this ribosomal RNA (467 nucleotides) under uncultured bacterium. RNAcentral describes it as "partial 16S ribosomal RNA". It matches the Rfam family "Bacterial small subunit ribosomal RNA", at positions 28 to 507 of the family's 1533-position model. The record is from RNAcentral.
GAUGAACGCUGACAGAAUGCUUAACACAUGCAAGUCAACUUGAAUUUGGGUUUUUACCUUAGGUUUGGGUGGCGGACGGGUGAGUAACGCGUAAAGAACUUGCCUCACAGCUAGGGACAACAUUUGGAAACGAAUGCUAAUACCUAAUAUUAUGAUAAUAGGGCAUCCUAUAAUUAUGAAAGCUAUAAGCGCUGUGAGAGAGCUUUGCGUCCCAUUAGCUAGUUGGAGAGGUAACGGCUCACCAAGGCGAUGAUGGGUAGCCGGCCUGAGAGGGUGAUCGGCCACAAGGGGACUGAGACACGGCCCUUACUCCUACGGGAGGCAGCAGUGGGGAAUAUUGGACAAUGGACCAAGAGUCUGAUCCAGCAAUUCUGUGUGAACGAUGAAGUUUUUCGGAAUGUAAAGUGCUUUCAGUUGGGAAGAAAGAAAUGACGGUACCAACAGAAGAAGUGACGGCUAAAUACGUG